UCCCUGAUGGCUCAGCUGGUAAAGCAUCUGCCUGCAAUGCAGAAGACCUGGGUUCAAUCCCUGGGUUGGGAA
RNAcentral lists this transfer RNA (72 nucleotides) under Bos taurus (domestic cattle). It matches the Rfam family "tRNA". Rfam says of the family: Transfer RNA (tRNA) molecules are approximately 80 nucleotides in length. Their secondary structure includes four short double-helical elements and three loops (D, anti-codon, and T loops). Lineage: Eukaryota; Metazoa; Chordata; Mammalia; Artiodactyla; Bovidae. The record is from Rfam by way of RNAcentral. RNAcentral also lists the same sequence under 2 other names.